Molecule: ribosomal RNA, 301 nt
Filed under: uncultured bacterium
Lineage: Bacteria
Description: partial 16S ribosomal RNA
Rfam family: Bacterial small subunit ribosomal RNA
Source: RNAcentral
CAGCCGCCGCGGUAAUACGUAGGGUGCAAGCGUUAAUCGGAAUUACUGGGCGUAAAGCGUGCGCAGGCGGUUAUAUAAGACAGAUGUGAAAUCCCCGGGCUCAACCUGGGAACUGCAUUUGUGACUGUAUAGCCAGAGUACGGCAGAGGGGGAUGGAAUUCCGCGUGUAGCAGUGAAAUGCGUAGAUAUGCGGAGGAACACCGAUGGCGAAGGCAAUCCCCUGGGCCUGUACUGACGCUCAUGCACGAAAGCGUGGGGAGCAAACAGGAUUAGAUACCCCCGUAGUCCCUGUCUCUUAUAA